UUAAGAUAUUUUUUUACAAAUGGCCAACUUUGGUUACGCGACGUUGUCACAUCAAUCGGGUUUCAAAGGUUUUCCGGUUUUUUGUUUGUUACCUGUUAUACCUGUAUAUAUUGAUGAAAUUCCUGUUGUCAAUUUUUUUCUGUUAAAUACAAAUAAGGAAUUAAUGUAGAAACGCCUAAGGAUGCUUCGGUGUUACGUGUUCUCUACUCUUAUUUAUGGCUUGGAAGCGUGGACAUUAAAACAAGUCGAUCUGAAUGAGUUGACCGCAUUUGAAUUUUGAUGUUACAGAAGAAUCCUACGAAUCAUGGAUUCAAAGAAUGUCAAACAUGGAAGUAACUAGAAGGAUAGGAAAUAAACCGGAAAUAGUAUUAACUAUCAAAAGACGAAAACUUGAGUACUUAGGACAUGUGAUGAGAGGGCAAAAAUACUCAUUACAACUUAUUAUGCAAGGCAAAAUCCGAGGAAAGCGAAAUGUGGGAAGACGAAUAACAUCCUAGCUUAAGAACUUACGGGAAUUGUUCGAAUGUAGUAGUGCAGUGCUCUUUAGAGCGGCAGUCAACAAGGUCCGCAUUGCCGUGAUGAUUUCCAACCUUCGAUAGAAGAUGGAACUUAAAGAAGCAGAAGAAUGUAGAAAGCGAAAUUUCUUCUCCAAUUUUUGAUUGAAAUUUGACUGGUUAACAUAUAAGUCCCGUCAGUGAAAACAAUAAAUUUAUUUUUUCCCUAGCUUUUUAAAGUUCUUGAGAAACUGCUGUAUGUCUAUUGUCGUGUUUCUCAAUCAAUAUUUUUUUUUAUUAAGUAAACCGCGUCAACCAUGAAAGGUUAUUGGCGGGGAAGAGUUGUACAUAAUAUCAGAUGUUUGCUUAUAACAACUAAUUACAAUUGAGCACUUAAGAUUAUUUUUAUAUUAGAUUGUACAAUUUAGUUAGUUUUACAAACUUAGUCACUUUAUCACAUUUACUAUAGUUCAGAGCACUUUUCAGAUCACUUGGUAAAUCACUUUGAAGUCGUUCCAGGUGAUAGAGUGGGCAACUAACAAUAAUGUGUUCGAUUGUCAGAGGAAUAUCUCAAACAUAGCACAGUUUUUGUUGUUCUUUCUUCAUUAGGUACUGGUGGGUUAACCUGGUAUGUCCUAUUCUCAAGCGGUGUUGUAUGACUUGAUCUCGUCGUUUUUGUGGCAUUAUCCCUUUUGGUGACAAAUUUGGGUUGAUGCGUUGUAGUUUGUUGUCAUCAAGUUUUUUCCAUCUUUUUUUUAUUUAUAGUUGGAAGGAGUAUUUUCCUGUGAUGCGUCAGUAUCUUCAGAGGUGUCAUCCUGAAUACUAUAAUCUUGGUUUAUUUUACUAAGUAGUUUUUUCUUGAUUCUUGUAAUUCUAGAUUUAAUUGCUCUUUCGUUCAACAUGGGAUAUAUUUCAGUUAGCAUAUGUCCCAACCCGUGUAUAUUUUGCGUGUAUUCUAGGGCCAGUUCUACUGGGGUGGAAGAACCGUGAACGUCUUCUAAGAAUGCUAGUAAUUGGGUGUAAUUUAGUACAUAUGGUGGUGAUGCAUCCUGGAUAAAUUGUUUGACUGGUUGUAAUAAUGACUCACUCAUUCUGAAGUGGAUUUGUCUAAUUUGAUAAUUUUUUUCUUCUUUUUAAUUUGCACUGGUUUUGGUUUCGUGAAUUCUGUUGGUAUAGUUUCUGUAGGAGUGGAGCAAGUAGGGGAUGAAACUUCCGAGUGAGAUCGUUUAUUUUUAUUAUCGGUAUCAGUGCUGACUUGAGCAUCCAUUUCUUCUCGAGAUUCGUCAUUUACAUGUGUAAUUUGAUUUUGUUCGGGGCUAGUAGAUGGUAUUUGUGGAAGAAAAUUUUCCUCCGUUUGGGGCUUUUGAGUAUUUUGUGGAUAAGAGGGAUUUAAGGUACAGUACGAGGAAACGUGACCAGUUUGGUGGCAUUUGUAACAAGUUAGUUUAUUGGAAAGAAAAAUUCGGUACGAAAUAUUUUCAAAAUCAAUUAGGACGGAGUCGGGUACAGUAAAAUUGCCUGUAGGUGCAAAGUAAACUUGUCUUCGAAAACUAAGUACAUGGCUGUAUUGCGGGUCUUGUAUUCCAGCUCUAAGGAACGAAAUCGGAGACAUUAAUUUAAAACCAAGAUUGAUUAAAGACUGUUCGAUUAUGUUAUGGGGUAUAGAUGGACAUACUUGGGAUAGAACUAAUCUAUUAGCGGGUGUAAUUAGUUUACGUGCUUUGAUUAUAUGUUCUCUAAUUUUAAUUCCACCAUGUUGACUUAGAAAAUUGUCUACAACUUGUAUGCUUGAAAGGUAGAUGCAUAUUCUUCCGUUUGACAUUUUGGAUGAGAACAGUACAUUUUUUGGAUGGACUAUAGUUCCUACUGCAAUGGUGUACUCUUCUGUUCUUAUUCCGUCUACUGCAGGUAAAAUUAUGGCUUGGUUUUUUGUUGGGAAUUUUGUUAAUGGUUGUUGCUUAGUGAUGGUAGAAUAAGUAAUGUUUUGCUGAUCGGGAUUAAUUGAUGGACCCCUGUAGUCAGAAGUACCACCUGCCAUGUUGUCAAAUUUAAUCUUCUAUCUUUUUUUAAAUUUAAAUUGAACUGUCAUUUCAAUCAUUUUAAUUUGGGUAGGUCCGACUCUGUUUAUUUAAAAGUAAAUAGUCGAUCUAGCCAUUAGCAAGAUAAUGACAAUAGUUGAAACUAGUUUUUAAAUAAUUAAUAAAUACGAAAUAUAAAUAAUGUUCUUCGUAUGUAUAUAAAAACAAUGCUUCUAAUCAAACUACUGCAAAUUUGGAAACUGUACUUACAGCUAUUAACAGAUCACUGUACACUGCUUCUACAUAUUUCGGUUUAUUAUUUAAAUUUACAAUGUUUCUUCUGAAAACUAUAAAAGUUGUGGAGCUCAAAGUAUUUCGACUUUUCUGCAAUCAAUAUUUUUCUAUUUCUAUUUUAUAUUAUUUGACGUUUUUCUCCAGCGAAACCCAAAUCGAUGAAAUUCCUGUCUCACCUUAUAGUUCUUCUACCUAUAUUCUUCUACAAAUUUCCGAUGAAUCUUUUUAACAGUUGGAACUUGUUCAGUAAGAUGAAAAUUGUAUAUCUCCCUGCGUUAUAUACCUUGAUCACAUCGAUUAAUUUUAGUUUUUGAUGAUUUUUCAUGUUGUUUGUUAACUGUUCAAAGCCUUCUCCAUUCUGAAUGUCACUCACUACCUUUGGCGAUAUUUUACACUGGAUAAACUAAUACCUGCAAACAUGUAUCCAUUUUGUUAGAUUCAAUUACUUGACAUGUUAUACAACAAUAAAUCUUUGUAUAUUUUGUUGGUAGUCGAGUUCAAUUGAAGUCCCCUCUCCUUGAUUUUCUACCUGAGUUACAUGCGCGGUUUCAGAUUUUUCUGUACACGUAUAUUAGGAUUUUUUAAUGGUUUGACUAAAACAAUAGUGUCUAAUGUGCACGAGUAGGUAUUUGAGAAAUUAUGUCAGAAGUAUAGUUAUCCAUUGUUGAUAUUCCGGCUACUUUUUACCACUUAGGAUGCGUGGCUUUGGAUGACUAAUUUCAUUUUUUGUUUGCUAUGCUAUAGUCUUACCGAACAUCCACCAUUACAUUUUCAUUUCAGCCAGCUCCAUCUUUUUUCCUGGACCUUCUUUACAGGCCAAACUUCACCGUCGUACACCAACGCAGGCCCCACUAAACUCUUGGAUAUCCGUUUCCGUUAUGUAGGGGCCAAGGUAUUUAAAUUCUUCUAUUCGUCCUAGUUUUCCCCAACUACCCCUAGUGUAACAUUUUUAUUUUCACAUCAAAUUUUUGCUGGUGAUAACUGCUAAUUAAAAUCCAAAUAUCCGUAUGCAAUGGAAGCAUUAGUAAUCUCCGAAGUCAAUAAAAUGUAAUGUUAGUUCCAUCUUUAGACUAGAAAAUAGUUUUUGUGGUUAGACAUUUAUGUAAUCGUACUCUACUAUGUAUAUACAUGUCACACAACUCUGUGCGUUAAGCCGUUUUACUACUAUCAGUUUUAGGCGUUAUUACAUGCCGCCAUGUUUGAUUUGUCUCCACCGUCGUAUUCUAUUCGUUAAAUCCUAUCAUUUAUUUUGACUCAUAGAGGUAUAUAUUAACAUAGAGUGAGCCCUCACUCCGCCACCACUGACGACAAGAUCUCUUCGACUGGUUUGCGGUAUCUCUUUCUAGCACAAUGUAUCGAGAAACAUAACAUGAAACUAAGUGGGGGUACGGGACGGCAAGUGAAAUAAGGAGAAUUACUUUAUUCUUCUUUUUUCUUUAAUUAUUAUGACAAGUGACAAGACAACAUAACCCAAAUAAUUUAAUCCGGCCCUAUUUCUAUUUUUGAACAAAAUGUUGGAAAUAUCUUAGUUUAUUUUUAGUUCUAGCUUAUUUAUGGCUAGAUUGAAAAUCUGAAUUUUCUAAUAUUGGUUCAUGAUUAUCAUCAGGGACUUGAUUCGGUUCUUAAACAGGAUCUCUUUUAGUCCCAAUCACUGCAGCAGUGGAGCUAUGUUUUUAUUUUCACGGUGCUAGUAGAUGGCGAAUAAAUCGUUUAAUUUUCAAUAUUUUUUUAUGAAAAUUGUUUCACAUGUACUUUUUAUAACAAAUGUUCAGUAGUAAUAACCAGAGGACAUUGAUAAUUGUUCGAAAAAUUUUUAUAACAGAUUUCAAAAGCUUGUUCCUUGGAAACAGACCGACGCCAUAGGCGGAGGUCUGUUGCCUGUAAGCAACAAGCUUGAGAAAGUUGUUAAAAAAUUUUUGAGCAUUUAUCAAUGUUCGAGGGUUAUUCGGAUAGAAAAUUUUUUGCUGAUAUAAAAUUAAUAACAAUUUCAUUAAUAUUCUCAUCAGUAUUACAACCAAAUCGUGACAUUUUGAAAUAUUGAAUAUUUGAAAUGUCAAAAUUGAAAUGAAACGAAAUGUAGGUAUCCAUAGCUACAUGAUUGAGUGAAAACAGCCCAUGGGAUCUGUUUUCAGUAUAAUGUUGGUUUUAUUGGUUGUAUUCAAUCAGAUGACCACAAAUUAAUUGAUUUCAUUGGAUUUCUAAUUGAGCAAAAAAUUUUCAAAAUAAUUGGUACAGUACUUUUUAUUUUAGAAAUUCCCAAAAAAGUAUAUGAAUUUCAUACUUUUACACUAGGAUAGCCCUUUAAGAAAGGUAAAUUUCUAGAGCUGCCUAAAGACAGCCAUCAUUAUUCCUCUUCAUAAGGGUGGUGAAAAAUCUAAUGCCUGCAAUUAUAGACCUAUUGCAUUACUACUGGUACUCUCAAAUAGGACUCAUAUUACACAAGUAUAAAAACUUGUUGCUGGUAUGAGCACAUUGUGUAAAUGUUAGGAUUUAAAGAGGAUAUAAAAACCUUCAAUACAAUUAUGAGCGUUAGUCUCUUUAUAUCCUAACAUUUUUUUUGUUAUUGUUUUAGUUUAUUAUUGUUUUUUAUGACUCUGUAAGUUUUGUGUAUAAAUUGUACAAUUUUCCAUGACAAUAAAGCAUUUUUCUAUUCUAA
This 5462-nucleotide long non-coding RNA is filed under the name Diabrotica virgifera virgifera (western corn rootworm). Its description in RNAcentral is "uncharacterized LOC126890883". The record is from RNAcentral. Lineage: Eukaryota; Metazoa; Arthropoda; Insecta; Coleoptera; Chrysomelidae.